Long non-coding RNA from Engraulis encrasicolus (European anchovy), 1188 nucleotides. RefSeq lists it as uncharacterized. The record is from RefSeq and is a predicted model, not a curated record. The transcript has 3 exons. NCBI's taxonomy places the organism in Eukaryota, Metazoa, Chordata, Actinopteri, Clupeiformes, Engraulidae.
UGCCAGCAGCGGGCACCCAUGGGGAUGGACCCAAGAGUGGAGGAUGACCCAGUAGGGUGAGUUGUGUAGCUAAUGUCACACACACAUAUAGAUAAUUGUUUUAGGUGUAUGGGAAAUAACUAAAUGUUUGUUUACAUUGUACAGAUGAAAGUUCAGCCCACUCACUGACACCAGUGACACAGUAUUGACCAGAUCUCCUGGAAGUGCCUCCUGACGCAGACCCAGUUGUUUGGUAGCCAGCCACCCAUGCACGUUGACACAGCCAGCACCGAGCACCCAGGGGGAUGGACCCAGGAGUGGAGGACGGCCCAAUAGGAUGAAAAUUCAUCCCACUCACUGUUGACACCAAUGAGGGAACAAGAGAGGCUAGGCAACCCCAUCUUUUGACAACGGUCACCACCAGUCUAUUUCUAAAAAUGUUAUUAUUAUAUAUCUGUUAUAUAACAAUGUAUUUGUGUAUGGAUUAUAUGGGACAUUUAAAUGUUUUUUAAACAAAUGCUUAUUUAUCCUUUCUAUCUGUAAAUAAACUUGAACAUAUAAGUUUACUGAGUGAAUGACAACCAAACUGCAUGAAUUACAUAAUCACAAAAUUCCAUUAUUCCAAAAGCGCCUAUGAGUGUAUGGCUACUUUAUGACAGCAUUUAGAUAUUUGUGAAGAUUAUAUUGUACAUUUUAAUGGGAUUAUGUCCAAAGAAGUGCUUAUUAAUCUUUUAGUUUCUAAAUAACCCCAAACAUUUGUAUUAGACUGUGUAACAACCCCUUCUACCACAUGAAUGGCCUGUCUCAAAUUCAAAAACGCCUAUAAUAUAUAACUGCUAUAUGAUAAUAUAUGUUUUUUUUAUAAGAUUAUAUUGGUCAUUUCAAUUGAAUGUGAUAAAAUAUAUGGUUUUUGAUCAUUUUAAUGUGAAAGUUGGCCUGAAUUUGUGUGUUAGGGUGUAUCAUAGCCCACUAUUCUCAUGAGUUACACAUCAAACACAAUAAAAUCGCCUAUAUUGUAAUGCACUAUAAUGGCAAUAUUUUUUUGGUGCCUUGGUGUAGAUAAUGAAAUUUGAUUUCAUUUGUUACAGAACAUAUGUGUUUACAAUCUUAGCCAACAAAAAGGCUUUAAUCUGUAUGUUUGGUAUUGUACAUACUCAUCUAUCAUUAAAAAAACAAAUCGGAUUUUUGUAUUUUUUCAUUAUUUUUACU